This 484-nucleotide ribosomal RNA is filed under the name uncultured bacterium. Its description in RNAcentral is "partial 16S ribosomal RNA". It matches the Rfam family "Bacterial small subunit ribosomal RNA", at positions 30 to 507 of the family's 1533-position model. The record is from RNAcentral.
AUUGAACGCUGGCGGCAUGCUUUACACAUGCAAGUCGAACGGCAGCACGGGCUUCGGCCUGGUGGCGAGUGGCGAACGGGUGAGUAAUAUAUCGGAACGUACCCAGAAGUGGGGGAUAACGUAGCGAAAGUUACGCUAAUACCGCAUACGAUCUAUGGAUGAAAGCAGGGGACCGCAAGGCCUUGUGCUCCUGGAGCGGCCGAUAUCUGAUUAGCUAGUUGGUGAGGUAAAGGCUCACCAAGGCGACGAUCAGUAGCUGGUCUGAGAGGACGACCAGCCACACUGGAACUGAGACACGGUCCAGACUCCUACGGGAGGCAGCAGUGGGGAAUUUUGGACAAUGGGCGCAAGCCUGAUCCAGCAAUGCCGCGUGAGUGAAGAAGGCCUUCGGGUUGUAAAGCUCUUUUGUCAGGGAAGAAACGGUAGAGGCUAAUAUCCUUUGCUAAUGACGGUACCUUAAGAAUAAGCACCGGCUAACUACGUG